Molecule: long non-coding RNA, 1390 nt
Organism: Astatotilapia calliptera (eastern happy)
Lineage: Eukaryota; Metazoa; Chordata; Actinopteri; Cichliformes; Cichlidae
Source: Ensembl
AUGAUAUGAAGAGCAGAGUUGUCAGUGUUGAGGCACAGCUCGAAAAAUAUAAAGCAAUCGCUGAAGCACAGGAAAAGCGCAUCUCUCACCUGGAGAGCUAUUCACGGCGUUGGAAUCUGAAGCUCUACGGUCUGACCGAGAGGGACAAGCAGGACGUGCGGCAGGAGGUAAUCAAAGUCUGUAGAUCAGUCAUACCGGAGAUGCAAGAUAAAUCCCCCGACGUCGUUGACACCGUCCACCGCAUCGGUCCCAAGAGGUCCAACAACAACCAACCCAGGGGAAUCAUCAUUCAGUUUACAUCCAGGAUCUACCGCGAUGCUGUCUGGCGCGCUGCUAAGAAGUCCACCUACCUGAAACGUAACAACCUAAAGCUGGCUGAGGAUCUGUCCCCUGACGACCGCGCCCGAAGAAACAGACUCUGGCCGUCUGUGGAAGCUGCGCGCAACGAAAACAAGCUGGCGUUCUUCGUAGGAGGUCGUGCGUUCGUGGAGGGAAAAGAGAUUUUUCCAGCCCUAUAAUUUGAUCCAAGGUAUUUUGAGGUGAAAACUGAAGUAUCUUAAGAUUAACUUGGUUUCACUGCCGUUCUUUUUUUGUUUGUUUGUUUUUGUUGUUGGACUCAUAAAACGAUCAGAGUUAAACUGAUGCAGUUUAUUUGUUAUAAGUUUAUUGGUCUUCAGUUUGGCUGCAAUAUUUUUUACUGAAAAUGUUAUGAGCAAGCUGGAUAAGCUUCUUUUUAUUUUUUUUUUAUUUUUAUUCUUUUUUUGAAUAAUUAGUUAUUUAAAUGGAGCAAGAAAAUUUCUAUUAAGCUCCCUUUCAAUGCUCAUAUGUGAAGCGUUUAUUUAUUUUAUUUAUUUAUUUUUACCACAUUGGUUUUAUUGUUUUAGGCUAUUGUAUUCCUAUUAUUAUUCAAGUUCACAAUUUCCUUACUCAGGGGUUGCAGUUCUCAUCUUAUAUAGGACUCUCUUAAGUGACCAGUGACCAGGUUCAACUGUUCUUCAUUUACUUGGUUUAAGCUUUUUCUUAUUUGUCACUUUUAAUUUUUGUUACUAUCAUUAUUUCUCUGUCUGUUAUUUCUUUAAAUGCAAGAGGUUUAAGAAACAAUGUUAAACGUAAGGCUAUUUUUUUGUUUUGCAAGCAGUUCAAUUCAGAUUUCUGUUUUAUACAAGAGUCUCACUCAACAGAACAAGAAAAAACAUUUUGGAGAUCGCAAUGGGGAGAUGAUCUGUGGAUGUCCCAUGGUACAGAGCAUGCUGCUGGUGUCUGCAUACUUAAAGGAAGAUUUAAUGGUCAAAUCUUGAAUUCUGACAUAGAUAAAGAUGGUCAUUACAUUUUUCUAAUAGUUGAGGCUGCACACUCUAUCUAUAUUUUAGUCAGUGUGUAUGGUUUUAAC